Molecule: ribosomal RNA, 253 nt
Filed under: uncultured bacterium
Lineage: Bacteria
Description: partial 16S ribosomal RNA
Rfam family: Bacterial small subunit ribosomal RNA
Source: RNAcentral
GACAGAGGAGGCAAACGUUGUUCGGAAUCAUUGGGCGUAAAGCGCGCGUAGGCGGACCUGCAAGUCGGGGGUGAAAGCCCGAGGCUCAACCUCGGAACUGCCUUCGAUACUGCGGGUCUCGAGUCCGGGAGAGGUGAGUGGAAUUCCUAGUGUAGAGGUGAAAUUCGUAGAUAUUAGGAAGAACACCAGUGGCGAAGGCGGCUCACUGGCCCGGUACUGACGCUGGGGCGCGAAAGCGUGCGGAGCAAACAGG